CAGUCGCGCUGAGACUCCGUCGCGUCGCCACGCCACCCGCCGCCGUCGCUUGCCUGCUUACUCGCAAAUCGAUAUUACCGUAUUUACUGUUCCGUCGCACAUGCACACUUUUACUACACAUAUUAUUACGGACGAUAAAAAGUUUUAUAGCGCGCUUUUUUAAUAGGAACACAGCUACCUUCCUGUCUUUUCAACAGUCAGGCGCUUCGGUGACAGCUCGCGGACACAAAGUAAACAAAACACGCUGAAGACAACGAGACCACGUUCCACAGCUGAUUUUUGUUCGAACAGCUGAUCGUGAAAAUGAGAAAUGCGCGGAGCUUUAAGAGUUCACGCCUAUUUAAACUCACUGUGAAGUAAAUAAUAGGUACAUAGAGUAUUUUGAAACCGUCUCUGAUUCGAUGAAGUCUUCCAUAGUGGUGGCGGUAAUGUUUUAUGGUGCGAUGAAUGACGUUGUAAAUAUAACGCGAAGGCGACUAAAUGGCGUGUGCGCAUGGUCUUCGUGUCGUUAAUAGAUCUUGUGAUAUAUGCUCACGAUUUGAGUGUAUAAACGAGCGGGUAAACGAAGGCCGAGACUUGCGUCGACGUCGCGUCGCUCCGGGGAAGUUGGCACGGUGCGCGCGCGCGGCGUGUCGUGCGGCGUGACGUGGCGCGCGGGCCCUGACUCGGCCGUGUCUCCGGCGUCUGCCCCUCUCAGUACAACCUUGCUCGCGCUGAGGACAUGUCCGUGUUAUGGACUACCAAUGCAUCGUCGUGUACACCGUCAUCAACAUCGCGCCCCCGCGCCUUACCGCGCAGGCGACGGACCUCUCUAACGGCUGUGUCACCUGGUUCAAAAAUAAAAUCAAAAGAGCGGUAGCAGUGUAUCUUCAUUCGCUAAGGUUGACGCCAAGCAGCGGGGCUGUACAUGGAAAUUUGGCAUGUUUAUAUUAUAAACAGGGCUUCAUAGAUCUUGCUAUAGACACGUACAGACGAGCCAUCCAACUUCAACCAAAUUUUCCCGAUGCAUACUGCAAUCUUGCUAAUGCGCUCAAAGAAAAGGGCCUCGUUUGCGAGGCGGAGGAGUGCUACAACAAUGCCUUACGAUUAUGCCCAUCUCACGUCGACACUCUCAAUAAUCUCGGUAAUGUAAAAAGAGAACAAGGGAAAAUUGAGGAAGCUACAAAACUGUACAUGAAGGCUUUGGAAGUGUUUCCCAACUUCGCCGCAACACACAGUAACUUGGCAUCGCUUUUACAGCAUCAAGGAAAACUCCAUGAAGCUUUGAUGCAUUACAGACAUGCUAUAAAUAUUCAGCCAAAGUUUGCCGACGCUUAUAGUAAUAUGGGCAAUACUCUUCGAGAAUUGCAGGAUAUUAAUGGCGCCCUUGUUUGUUUCAAGAAAGCAAUAGAAAUAAAUCCCACUUUCGCCGAUGCGCAUUGUAACCUAGCAAGUAUUUACAAAGAUAUGGGGAGAAUUAUCGAAGCUAUUGAAUCGUAUAAAAACGCAUUAAAAUUUAAACCAGACUUUCCAGAUGCUUACUGUAAUUUAACACAUUGCUUACAAAUAAUAUGCAAUUGGGAUGAUUACGAGGAGAGAAUGCAUAACUUAGUAUCAAUUGUUGAAAACCAAUUGAGUAUGGAAAAACUAACCUCGGUACAUCCGCACCAUUCCAUUUUAUAUCCACUAACGAAUGAAGUAAGAAAAGAGUUAGCCGCACGACAUGCCGACUUGUACUCAGAGAAAGUUAAUAUGUUGGGUAAAGUAAAAUUUCCACUUAAUAAAGAACGUAAGGGUAGAUUACGUGUCGGAUAUGUAAGCAGCGAUUUUGGUAAUCAUCCAACUUCCCAUCUAAUGCAAUCUAUACCAGGUCUUCAUGAUCGUCAAAAAGUGGAAAUCUUUUCUUACGCUUUGAACUUUGAUGAUGGAACCACAUUCCGUAGUAAAAUAGUUAAUGACUCCGAACAUUUCGUUGAUCUGUCGUCAGUGUCAUGUUAUAUGGAAGCGGCAAAAAGAAUUAACGGCGAUGGUAUACACAUAUUGGUGAAUAUGAACGGAUAUACUAAAGGCGCUCGAAAUGAGAUCUUUGCUUUAAAACCAGCCCCCAUUCAAGUAAUGUGGCUAGGUUAUCCGGGAACGAGCGGAGCACAAUACAUGGAUUACAUAAUUACUGAUGUGAUAUCAUCACCUUUGUCGAGCGAAUUAGAUUUCAGUGAAAAGUUUGCGUUCAUGCCAUAUACAUAUUUCAUAGGUGACCAUAAACAAAUGUUCCCACAUUUAAAAUCACAAUAUAUUGUUAAAACUGAUGAUAAUAAAGAUUCAGAUCGCAAUAUGGCUAUUAUCAAUUGUGCUGAAAACAUAAAUCUGGAUGAAAAGUCUAGUGUGAUUGUAACACUAAAGGUGAUUGAAUACGAAGAUUUAGUGCCGAUAGAAAUAAUUGAAAAACAAAUAAACAUUCCAAGCCACGUUAUCAAGAGUAUGGUAGAUCCAAAAAUUACGCAGGUAAUGGUUGACGACGUAUCGAUACACAAUGGCAUAUCGAUAAACAGUUGUAACAAAAGAGUAGCAGCCGCUGAAGAAAUAUUGGAAGAUAUAGUACUUACAUCGAGAAAGCAAUACAAUUUACCGGACGACGCCAUUGUUUACUGUAAUUUCAAUCAAUUAUACAAAACUGACCCAAGAGUAUUAGAAAUGUGGGUGAACAUAUUGAAAAAGGCCUCCUACCUGGUCGCAUCAUAUUCUCUAAUAUCGCUUGUAAGGAGGAACACGUGAGGCGUGGACAGCUGGCAGAAAUAUGUUUGGACACGCCAUUGUGCAACGGACAUACGACUACUAUGGAUGUUUUAUGGGCCGGAACACCAGUGGUUACACUUCCAGGAGAAACUUUAGCUUCCCGCGUUGCUGCGUCACAACUGCAGGCUCUGGGUUGUUCGGAACUGAUCGCCAAAACUAGAAGACAAUAUGAAGAAAUCGCUGUGAAAUUGGGAACAAAUAGAAAUUA
RNAcentral lists this unclassified non-coding RNA (2980 nucleotides) under Helicoverpa zea (corn earworm). RNAcentral describes it as "uDP-N-acetylglucosamine--peptide N- acetylglucosaminyltransferase 110 kDa subunit-like, transcript variant X2". The record is from RNAcentral. Lineage: Eukaryota; Metazoa; Arthropoda; Insecta; Lepidoptera; Noctuidae.